UCUCCCCUCACGUUCUAUAUUAUACGUCCUUCUCUUUCUCCCCCCUCUCUUCUUGUUCAUCUUCAAUUCCUCUCUUAUCAAUCUCGUUUUUCUCUUCAAAUUUUGCAGCUAAUUUUCAGAUCUUGCAAAUUUCAUUGAAGAGUAAUUGAUAUGAGCGAACCUGGAGCUUCUCAACUAGAAGAAACCGAGGAACAUAUGGACAUUGUAGAGACCCAAAGUUCGCAAGUUCUUGAUAAGAAUGUUGUUGAAAAUGCAGAAGCAAGACACUUAGAAGGAGGAUCGAUAAAUGUGUCUGUGCCUUUGGGUGACCGUAGUGGUUCUAUGCCACUGGACCUCAAUACUGAAGUGUGCACUGAUGAAAAUUCAGGUUAUAAUAAUGCAGUUGUGUCUUUAGAUGAUUCUAGAAAACAUUCUUCAUGUGCAAAAGCCAAAGGAAGCGUUGAACAUAAUUAUCUCCAUUUUAACUUGGUGAGUUUGCUUACAUUGAUUUUUUUUUUGAUUUUAAAUUUAGGCCCUUUUCUUAUUUUUUGGCGUUGCAGGUGUAAAUAAAGGCGGCGGCGGUGGUAGGGAAGACCGGCGGCGGUGGUGGUCAGGCUGGGACUAUUCAAUUUCUGGGUUUAAAUUCCAGGAAUUACAAAACUAGAAUUUUUGGCAUUUAUUGAUUUAUUUGUAAAAUUUAUUUUGAUUAAAUUGUAUUUUUUAGUUUAAAGUUGUAGAAACUAGUUUUUAGUUGUAUUUGUUUUAAGUUGUAUGAGAUAAUAAAAAUUAUUAAUAAAAAUAUAGUUUGUUAAUUUA
This is a long non-coding RNA of Beta vulgaris subsp. vulgaris (sugar beet), 795 nucleotides long. RefSeq lists it as uncharacterized. NCBI's taxonomy places the organism in Eukaryota, Viridiplantae, Streptophyta, Magnoliopsida, Caryophyllales, Amaranthaceae. The record is from RefSeq and is a predicted model, not a curated record. The transcript has 2 exons.